RNAcentral lists this ribosomal RNA (388 nucleotides) under uncultured bacterium. Its description in RNAcentral is "bacterial SSU rRNA". It matches the Rfam family "Bacterial small subunit ribosomal RNA", at positions 28 to 417 of the family's 1533-position model. The record is from RNAcentral.
GACGAACGCUGGCGGCGUGCUUAACACAUGCAAGUCGAGCGGUAAGGCCCUUUCGGGGGUACGACGAGCGGCGAACGGGUGAGUAACACGUGGGUGACCUGCCUCAGCUCUGGGAUAAGCCUGGGAAACCGGGUCUAAUACUGGAUAUGACUCCAUGACGCAUGUUGUGGGGUGGAAAGCCUUGUGCGGCUGAGGAUGGGCCCGCGGCCUAUCAGCUUGUUGGUGGGGUGAGGCCUACCAAGGCGACGACGGGUAGCCGGCCUGAGAGGGCGACCGGCCACACUGGGACUGAGACACGGGCCCAGACUCCUACGGGAGGCAGCAGUGGGGAAUCUUGCGCAAUGGGCGAAAGCCUGACGCAGCGACGCCGCGUGAGGGAUGACGGCCU